GUCGACUGUCUAUGGUUUAAGAAGUUCAACCUCAUUCUCCAUAUUAAUAGAACGCAGAGGAAAACUGAAAUGGUAAUCAAAAUAAUAUAAUAAAAUUCCAAGUGAAACCCCCACAAAUUUUCAAGCUUGGACUUGCCACAAUAGCUGCAAUCACAGAUAAUUCUUAGAUUCUCCAUAGCUGUGACUUCGGGAUCAAGAAUAAAGUCUACACUCAUGGCUGAUUCUCCUAACACGAUCCAUGUGGUCUUUGAUUUGUACCCCGGCAUGGAGGCCAUAACUUCAUAUCUCUCUGCUGGGUUAAGCAAGCGAUGGUAAUCAGCAAAUAAGCUACCAGCUUUAAUCGUAUAAUUUAUUCCUUUGAUCAUGAUAGAACCUGGUAGUGGCCUCCCUCCAUCAGAUGAAAAUAUCCUUCCAUGUACUCCUGUCUUCACAAGGCUGGCUACAAGGUUUAAUAAACUCAUUUUGUUGUAUUCCCAAAGUACAGGAAGCUCAUCAGCAUUAGGCCACUUGUUGUCACUAAUCUCCAAGGUCAAUUCAAAACAGCCAGCAUGUAUAUAGUUCCAAUCUUGCAUUCCACCAUAUAUUGGGUACCAAGAUGCUCCAUUUGUUAUUCCUCCAGGAAAUUCUUUGCUCAAAGACAUGUUAUGAUGAGAACGGCUAUAUAUACUUGCCAUGAACCGGAAUGUAUCAUCAUCAGGACAUGCAUAGUAAUUUCUCCUUUUAUCCCCUGUACCAUCCCAUGGAUAGUUUGCAACAAGUGCACCCCCAUGCAAACUGGCAGAUGCUGUGAAAUGUAUCUCUCCCAACCAAUUCAUAAUUGCUCUUGUUUCAGGUUGUCGUGAGUUUAUGUCACCAUUCAAAGGAAAGAACUGGUCUGGGAAAUCUCGAUUUAGAUCAACAUUGUUUGCAUUACCACGCCUCCUCAAUGAAAACCCAUCAGGAUUCAUUGAUGGAAGAAUAUGAAGGUGAACAUUUUCUACUAUCAACCUGGCCAAGGGAUCCUUCAGAUAGUUAUCACAUAUCCAGUUAGCAAGAUGUAUCAGAAGUUCACGACCUACGGGUUCAUCUCCAUGCACAUUUCCAAUAUACUUGAAUGCAGGUUCAGGCUCUUCCGCCCCAGGCUUGUCAGAGAUCUCUAUAACCCACAGUGGAAAUCCAUUCA
This 1162-nucleotide unclassified non-coding RNA is filed under the name Hevea brasiliensis (rubber tree). Lineage: Eukaryota; Viridiplantae; Streptophyta; Magnoliopsida; Malpighiales; Euphorbiaceae. The record is from RNAcentral.